RNAcentral lists this ribosomal RNA (631 nucleotides) under uncultured Bacteroidota bacterium. RNAcentral describes it as "bacterial SSU rRNA". It matches the Rfam family "Bacterial small subunit ribosomal RNA", at positions 28 to 652 of the family's 1533-position model. Lineage: Bacteria; Pseudomonadati; Bacteroidota. The record is from RNAcentral.
GAUGAACGCUAGCGGGAGGCUUAACACAUGCAAGUCGAGGGGCAUCACGAGGUAGCAAUACUUUGGUGGCGACCGGCAGACGGGUGAGUAACGCGUAUGCAACCUACCCUGUACAGGGGGAUAACCCGGAGAAAUUCGGACUAAUAUCCCAUAAUAUUAUUUGGAGGCAUCUUCGGAUAAUUAAAGUUCCGGCGGUACGGGAUGGGCAUGCGUAACAUUAGCUAGUUGGUAAGGUAACGGCUUACCAAGGCUUUGAUGUUUAGGGGUCCUGAGAGGGUGGUCCCCCACACUGGUACUGAGACACGGACCAGACUCCUACGGGAGGCAGCAGUGAGGAAUAUUGGUCAAUGGGCGCAAGCCUGAACCAGCCAUCCCGCGUGCAGGAAGACGGCCCUAUGGGUUGUAAACUGCUUUUCCGAAAGGCGAAACUCAGCGACGUGUCGUUGAUUGACGGUAUUUCGGGAAUAAGCAUCGGCUAACUCCGUGCCAGCAGCCGCGGUAAUACGGAGGAUGCGAGCGUUAUCCGGAUUCAUUGGGUUUAAAGGGUGCGUAGGCGGACUAAUAAGUCAGUGGUGAAAUCCUGCAGCUUAACUGCAGAACUGCCAUUGAUACUGUUAGUCUUGAGUUUGGU